UACGUAGGGACCAAGCGUUGUUCGGAUUUACUGGGCGUAAAGGGCGCGUAGGCGGCUUAACAAGUCACUUGUGAAAUCUCCGGGCUUAACUCGGAACGGCCAAGUGAAACUGUCAAGCUAGAGUGCAGAAGGGGCAAUCGGAAUUCUUGGUGUAGCGGUGAAAUGCGCAGAUAUCAGGAGGAACACCAAUGGCGAAGGCAGCUCGCUGGGACGGUACUGACGCUGAGGCGCGAAAGCGUGGGGAGCAAACAGG
RNAcentral lists this ribosomal RNA (253 nucleotides) under uncultured bacterium. RNAcentral's name for it is "partial 16S ribosomal RNA". It matches the Rfam family "Bacterial small subunit ribosomal RNA", at positions 524 to 776 of the family's 1533-position model. The record is from RNAcentral.